AAGCUCGUAGUUGAAUUUCGGGGUUAGUAGGUUGGUCAUGCCUCUGGUAUGUACUGGUCUCACUGAUUCCUCCUUCCUGAUGAACCGUAAUGCCAUUAAUUUGGUGUUGCGGGGAAUUUGGACUGUUACUUUGAAAAAAUUAGAGUGUUUAAAGCAAGCUAACGCUUGAAUACAUUAGCAUGGAAUAAUGAAAUAGGACGUUCGGUCCUAUUUUGUUGGUUUCUAGGAUUGACGUAAUGAUUAAUAGGGAUAGUUGGGGGCAUUAGUAUUCAAUUGUCAGAGGUGAAAUUCUUGGAUUUAUUGAAGACUAACUACUGCGAAAGCAUUUGCCAAGGAUGUUUUCAUUAAUCAAGAACGAAAGUUAGGGGAUCGAAGACGAUCAGAUACCGUCGUAGUCUUAACCAUAAACUAUGCCAACUAGGGAUCGGAUGAUGUUAAUUUUUUAAUGACUCAUUCGGCGCCUUACGGGAAACCAAAGUGUUUGGGUUCCGGGGGGAGUAUGGUCGCAAGGCUGAAACUUACAGGAAUUGACGGAAGGGCACCACCAGGGGUGGAGCCUGCGGCUUAAUUUGACUCAACACGGGGAAA
This 588-nucleotide ribosomal RNA is filed under the name uncultured Glomus. RNAcentral describes it as "SSU rRNA". It matches the Rfam family "Eukaryotic small subunit ribosomal RNA", at positions 624 to 1213 of the family's 1831-position model. Lineage: Eukaryota; Fungi; Glomeromycota; Glomeromycetes; Glomerales; Glomeraceae. The record is from RNAcentral.